This 301-nucleotide ribosomal RNA is filed under the name uncultured bacterium. RNAcentral's name for it is "partial 16S ribosomal RNA". It matches the Rfam family "Bacterial small subunit ribosomal RNA", at positions 509 to 807 of the family's 1533-position model. The record is from RNAcentral.
CAGUCGCCACGGGAAUACGAAGGGUGCAAGCGUUAAUCGGAAUUACUGGGCGUAAAGCGUGCGUAGGCGGUUUGUUAAGUCUGUUGUGAAAUCCCCGGGCUCAACCUGGGAAUGGCAAUGGAUACUGGCAAGCUAGAGUGUGUCAGAGGAUGGUGGAAUUCCCGGUGUAGCGGUGAAAUGCGUAGAGAUCGGGAGGAACAUCAGUGGCGAAGGCGGCCAUCUGGGACAACACUGACGCUGAGGCACGAAAGCGUGGGGAGCAAACAGGAUUAGAUACCCGGGUAGUCCCUGUCUCUUAUAC